This 23-nucleotide non-coding RNA is filed under the name Cricetulus griseus (Chinese hamster). The record is from RNAcentral. Lineage: Eukaryota; Metazoa; Chordata; Mammalia; Rodentia; Cricetidae.
UCAUGGUGGCUCGUGGUGACCUG